CCCACGGGGUGCAGCAGUGAGGAAUAUUGGUCAAUGGGCGCGAGCCUGAACCAGCCAAGUCGCGUGAGGGAGGACGGCCCUACGGGUUGUAAACCUCUUUUGCCGGGGAGCAACGGGCGCCACGUGUGGCGUCACUGAGAGUACCCGGAGAAAAAGCAUCGGCUAACUCCGUGCCAGCAGCCGCGGUAAUACGGAGGAUGCGAGCGUUAUCCGGAGUUAUUGGGUUUAAAGGGUGCGUAGGCGGAUCGUUAAGUCAGUGGUCAAAUUGAGGGGCUCAACCCCUUCCCGCCAUUGAAACUGGCGUUCUUGAGUGGAAGAGAAGUAUGCGGAAUGCGUGGUGUAGCGGUGAAAUGCAUAGAUAUUAGGAGGAACACCAGUGGCGAAGGCGGCCUGCUGGACGACAACUGACGGUGAGGCGCGAAAGCGUGGGGAGCAAACAGGAUUAGAUACCCCUGUAGUC
RNAcentral lists this ribosomal RNA (460 nucleotides) under uncultured bacterium. Its description in RNAcentral is "partial 16S ribosomal RNA". It matches the Rfam family "Bacterial small subunit ribosomal RNA", at positions 338 to 795 of the family's 1533-position model. The record is from RNAcentral.